GAGGAGUCGGCCCCGAGACGUGCGGCGGUUGGAGGCUUUGCUGGAAGCGGGAAGGCUGAUGCUAGGGUUUCCUAACCCUUCCUUUUCCAUUAAUUUCGGGCCUGGGUUAGGAAUUAGCUAUUGGUCCCGUUAUUGGAUUUGUAACAAAAUUGGACUGAAACAUUUGCCUUUGUUUCUGUUUGGUUUUUAUUUAUUUAACGGGCCGGGCAGAAAUUGGGCCCUAUAGCUGCCCCUCUUUGCUCGUUGUCAUGUAACAGGAACAGAGCAAAGACUACAUGGCCCAAUUGUGCCUGGUCUUACUGAGCCUUGACUUCUUCAAUACUUCUCCUCUUCAGGUAGCCUCGUUCCUUCCUACUGCAUCUUCAGAGGUACAGGAAUUGGUGCUUCUGUCUACUUCACUGUAAUGUUGGGGAGGUAAGACCUGUAUCUUCGAUCUACUUCACACUAGUAUGGAAAGACACGAUCUGCUAUCUCUGAUCUAUUUCAUGUCAAUACAUGAAAACAGGAUCCAUUAUCUUUGAUCUACUUCACCACUAGUAUGGGAAGACAAGAUCUGCCAUCUUCGAUCUACUUCAUGUCAAUACAUGAAGACAAGAUCCACUAUCUCUGAUCUACUUCAUGUCAAUACAUGAAGACAAGAUCCAUUAUCUUCGAUCUACUUCAUGUCAAUACAUGAAGACAAUAUCCGCUAUCUUCGAUAUACUUCAUGUCAAUAAAUGAAGACAAGAUCCACUAUCUCUGAUCUACUUCAUGUCAAUACAUGAAGACAAGAUCCAUUAUCUUCGAUCUACUUCAUGUCAAUACAUGAAGACAAGAUCCGCUAUCUUCGAUCUACUUCAUGUCAAUACAUGAAGACAAGAUCCACUAUCUUUGAUCUACUUCAUGUCAAUACAUGAAGACAAGAUCUGCUAUCUCUGAUCUACUUCAUGUCAAUACAUGAAGACAAUAUCCAUUAUCUUCGAUCUACUUCACCACCAGUAUGGGAAGACAAGAUCUGUUGCUUUUUCACCUGCUCCACUGUUGCUCAGGGAGAUAAGGCUUUAUAAUCUCACUGAUCUGUUCUCUGCGGAACAUGACCUGUAUGAUUCAUUUCAUGAGCCUAAUUAUGCCUAAUGACUGGGAUGAUCAAAAUGAAUCAAAUGCUUUUAGCUAGAUGUAUAUGAAUUUACAUUUAAAUGUUAUGUCAUGAAAAUGAUUAAUGUUGAAGUUGUUAUUGCUCAUUAUUCAUUAAGGCUUCCUUUAUGGAAACAAAACUUCGACCAAACUUGAGAAUUUUUAAUCUAGAUACUUCAUUCCCAGAUAUUCCCCACCUUUAAACUCAGUGAGGUCUAAACAAUAAUCCUGUUUCAGGUUCUUGAGCUAUUUAGAGAUUUCUAGAGUAAUAUGAAAAAACUUCCCUUAUAAAAGUUUUAUUAGUUCAUUAAUCGUUAUUCUAAUGCAACAUGCUUGCGUAAAGAUAAUAACGAUGGAUAGAACAAAAUUGAUUUGAGAGCAUAACUUGCAAUAAAUUAUCAAUGAUAGCAAGUCUAAAAUAGGAAUUGACUGGAAACACUUAUAUUGAAAAAGAAAGAAAUGUUCUAGAAACAACAAAUUCAAUAUAAAUACUAUGAACAAGUGCCCCAGAUAUCUUUGCUUGAAUUUCUCUAUACAACUUUUUGAAGACCCUUCUGAAUUCAACACAUGUUUAGGAGAUUUACAGUUCUUUGUUGAUGUCUCAAGAUGUCGCCUAUUCCCUCCUACUGAAUUAGGUACAACAAGAUCACCAUAUGCCUCAAUCAAAAUUUGAGCCACCCUUUUUUGGGGUUUUCAACUCAAAUCCCCUUUGGUCUUAAGGUGCCCUUUGCGGGUUUUCACCUUAGCCUCUCCCUUUUUUUUUUUGGAAUUCAAAGCGCCAUUUGUGGGUUUUCACCUUGGUUCAUUCUCCUUCUUAGGUAAAGUACUUCUUAACCGAAUCUGAAUUUACUGGAUUAGGCAAGUUUCUUCCAUCCAUCUCAGCCAAGAUCAAGGCUCCCCCAAAAAAUGAUUUUUUCACAACAUAAAGUCCUUCCCAAUUUGGCAUCCACUUCCCUCUAAAGUCCUUUUGUAGAGGUAGAAUUUUUCUCACACCAGGUUCCCCUCGUGAAAUUCUCUGGGACGGAACUUUUUAUUAUAGGCUCGCAUCAUUCUUUUCUGGUACAUUUGACAAUGCUGGAUAGCCUUCAACCUUUUCCCUUCUAUUAAGUUCAACUGAUCGUAUCGAGAUUGGACCCAUUCUGCUUCAUCCAACUUUAGCUCAGUCAACACCUGAAGAGAAGGGAUUUCAACUUCAAUUGGUAAAACUACCUCCAUUCCAUAAACCAAGGAGAAAAGCGUUACCCCGGUGGAGGUUCUGAUUGACGUUCGAUAAGCAAGGAGAGCGAACAAUAAUUUUUCAUGCUAGUCCCUGUAAGUCUCGGUCAUUUUUCCCACAAUCUUCUUUGUAUUUUUAUUGGCCGCUUCCACUGCACCAUUCAUUUUUGGGCGAUACGGCGAUGAAUUGUGAUGUUUGAUCUUGAAUUGACUACAGACUUCCGCUAUUGAGCUGUUGUUCAAGUUCAACGCAUUGUCGGAUAUGAUUCUUUCGGGCAUUCCAUAUCGACAUAUGAUCUCUCUUUUCAAGAACUUACUGACUGCUGACUUUGUGACGUUAGCAUAUGAAGCAGCUUCUACCCAUUUGGUAAAGUAGUCAAUAACCAUAAAUAUGAAACGAUGCCCAUUUGAGGCCUUUGGUGCUAUUGGCCCGAUGACAUCCAUACCCCACAUAGACAAUGGUCAUGAAGAAGUCAUAACAUGAAGAGGCGAAUGAGGUGCGUGCAUUUUAUCACCAUAAAUUUGACAUUUAUGGCACCUCUUGGCGUAAUUGAUACAAUCCUCCUCUAUGGUGGACCAGUAAUACCCGAAUAUCAUAAUCUGCCUUGCCAACGCGAACCCACUAGCAUGCGUUUCGCAAAUGCCCUCAUGGACCUCCUCCAAGAUUUUCUUAGCUUUCACAGCGUCCACACAUCUUAACAGUACCUGAUCUUUUCCUCUCUUGUAUAAGAUUUCUCCAUCUAAGACGUAAUCAAUGGCUAGUCUUCUCAGAGUCCUCAUAUCAUUCUCAGUUACCUGGCCAGGAUACUCACGAUUCUUUACUUAUCGUAGUAUAUCUUGAUACCAAGGACUAUCAUCCACUUCCCCUUCUUCAAUAUUAUAACAAUGAGCCGGACCCUCAUAGAUGCUCAUUUGGAUAGGCUUCAUGUCCUCCUGUCUAUUCACUUUGAUCAUGGAGGCUAACGUAGCCAGUGCAUCGGCCAUCUGGUUCUUGUCUCGUGAGAGAUAGAAAAAAGUAAUGUCCUCGAACUCCUUAAUCAAUUCAAGGACCAACUUUCGAUAACUGACUAAUUUGGGAUCUCUCAUUUCCCAUUCUCCCUUGAGUUGGUAUAUCACCAAUGUCGAAUCCCCAUAGACCUCUAGCACUUUAAUUUUACGCUCUAUACCUGCAUGAAUGCCCAUGAUGCACGCUUCAUAUUCUGCCAUGUUGUUUGUACAAUCAAAAUCCAAUUUGCAAGUGAAAUGAUAAUGAUCACCGUUCGGGGAUACUAAGACUGCCCUAAUUCCAUUGCCCACAGCGUUCGAGGCCCCAUCAAAGUUUAGCUUCCAACUGUGACCUUCUUGAGAAUUUUCUUCAAUAGUGGCUACAUACAUCAAGUCUUCAUUUGGGAAAUCAAAACUCAAUGGCUCAUAAUCCUCCAAAGCUCUACUAGCCAGAAAGUGCACAAUUGCACUUCCUUUUACAGCCUUUUGACUCACAUAGACUAUAUCAAAUUCAGACAGUAAAAUUUACCACCGGGCCAUCCUCCCAUUCAAAACAGUCGACUCCAUCAUAUACUUUAAAGGGUCUAAUUUUGAAAUUAGCCAAGUCGUAUGGUAUAGCAUAUACUGCCUUAAUCUUCGGGUUGUCCAAAUGAAGGCACAACACAACUUCUCAACAGGCGAGUAUCUCAUUUCACAGUCAGUGAAUUUCUUGCUGAGAUAAUAUAUCGCCAUUUUUUCUUUCCCGUUUCAUCAUUUUGACCUAGCACACACCCCAUGGAAUUAUCAAACACCGUUAGAUACAGUAUCAGCGGCCUAUCCGGGCUAGGUGGUGACAGCACUGGAGUAUUAGACAAGUACUGUUUUAUCUUGUUAAAGGCUUCCUCGCAUUCUUCAUCCCAUGUACCAGGAUUAUGUUUCUUCAGAAGACAAAAUAUGGGGUCACAUUUCUCGGUUAGUUGUGAAAUGAACCUAGCAAUAUAAUUCAGUCUUCCUAAGAAACCUCAAACUUCUUUCUGAGUGCGAGGCAGAGGUAAAUCUCGUAUUGCCUUCACUUUGUCUAGGUCAAUCUCGAUUCCCUUUUCACUGACUAUGAAGCCUAGCAAUUUUCCUGACCUGGCCCCAAAAGUGCACUUCGCUGGAUUAAGCUUGAGCUGGAACUUUCUCAAUCUUAAGAAUAAUUUUCUCAAGACCUACACAUGUUCCUCCUCCAUUCUAGAUUUCGCGAUCAUAUCAUCAACAUAAACCUCGAUCUCCCUGUGCAUCAUAUCAUGGAACAAGACUACCAUAGCUCUUUGGUAUGUCACUCCCGCAUUCUUUAAUCCAAACGACAUCACUUUAUAACAAAACGUCCCCCAUAACGUAAUGAACGUAGUCUUUCUCAUGUCCUCAGGAUGCAUCUUUAUCUGAUUGUACCCCGAAAAACCAUCCAUGAAGGAAAACAAUGAAUAGCCUACCGUAUUAUCUACUAAUGUGUCGAUGUGGGUAAUGGGAAGUUGUCUUUUAGACUAGCCUUAUUCAAAUCCCGGUAAUCCACACACAUUCGUACUUUUCCAUCUUUAUUUGGAACUGGUACGAUAUUGGCCACCCACUCAGAAUACUUAACUUCUUGCAGAAAUCCGACAUCAAAUUACUUCUGGACCUUUUCUUUUAUCUUCAACACAAUAUCAAGCCUCAUCCUUCUGAGCUUUUGCUGCACUGGCUUACAAUCUUUUCUUAUAGGAAGGCGAUGGACUACAAUGUCAAUACUUAACCCAGGCAUAUCUUGGUGUGACCAUGCAAAGACAUCUUUGAAUUCCUGGAGUAGUCUGAUGAAGCCUUGUCUUGUCUUUGCAGAGAUAUUAGAUCCGAUCUUCACCUCUUUUCCUUCCUCCAGGCUCACAAUUUCUAUUGAUUCAUUGUGAGGUAGGAGUUGUUUCUCAGCCCGUUCUACCAUCUUCAACAAAUCAGGAGACAAACCACCAUCUUCAUCAUCUUCAAAAUCCUGUGACCCCUCUAAACACAUGUUUUGUUCAAAAGGAGAUUCUGAAUUUGUAAGAGUGACAUUCGUAUCAUUAAUAUCGAGGGACCUGUUAUAGGUAUAAAAAGAAUAUGGAUUCAGGAAUAACUACUUGUGCAAUAUGGUCAUGAAUGAGAUGCAAGAAUAAUUUGAAAGAAAAAUUCAAAACAGCUACUCAUAUGGAAAGAAAGAAAAUUUUACUCCAAGAGUGAUUGAAAAGAUGAACUUUAUUAAAAUAACGAUAUUUGGGCAUGAGCCUAUUUCACAAAGGAAUCCUUAUUGCUUCUAGGCUAAAGCAAUAAGGGUGUUCUGGACAUUACUCUGAGGAAGUCCUAAAAACCACAGGUAUGUCUUCUGCAGUUCAAUUGUUUAGCACACUUCCCGGUUCGUAAGGGCGGAUAUCCAACAAAGUUCCUCCCUUUGAUGCUUCUUCACACACGGCAUUAAUAUUUCCUAACUCUGUAUUAAUACUUCCAACUUUUGGCAUUCCUUGAUAAACAAAUCCUCCUGAUACAAAUGUUUUGGAGAUGUGAGGAAAGAUCAUAGGCUCUUAUUUGACUUCAUCACCUGUCAAACGAGCCCUUCUUCUCUCUCGCCUCUUCUCUUGUUCUAUCUUCAUUUGCUUAGCAUCUGGUUUGUAUCCUAAGCCAAAACGGUCAUUCUUGUUCUUCAACACUGGGGCUUCAACUCGACCCUGAAGAUAUCUCCCCAAUCUUUUUCAUGGCAAAGCUCCCUUUCCAACUGUCAACUGAAGACCCAUCUUUGUAGUCUUUGAUAUCCUCAGCAUCGGGAUCCUGUUUCCCUCGGUAACGAAUGUAGCGUUUACGAACUUUAAAGAUCGAAAAGAACAUGUAAUUGCAUCCUAGCUGGUAUCUAAAUACAGCGUAUCAUUGGCUACCGCUGCAAUAAUAUCCUCUUCAGCGUUUAUCGUCACUAGUCGACCUUCCAACACCAACUUCAGCUUUUGAUGCAACGAUAAUGGUACCGCUCCUGCUGAAUGUAUCCAUGGCCUUCCUAAUAGACAACUGUACGAAGGCCUAAUGUCCAUCACUAGGAAGUCCACCUCGUAGAUAGUUGGGUCAAUUAACAAAGGUAUGUCAAUUCUUUCUAUGACCCUCCUUUCAGUGCCGUCAAAUGCCCUCACUAGGUUCUGGCACGACUUCAUAUGCGAACUAUCCACAGGUAGCCUAUUGAGUGUGGACAAGGGCAAUACAUUCAAUACCGAUCCGUUAUCUACCAGAACUCCCGGUAAUAUGAACCAUUUACACCUGGUAGUGAUGUGUAGAGCUCUGGUAGACCCCAUGCCUCCAGGUGGUAUUUCGUCAUCGUUGAAGAAGAUGAAGUUAUCAGUGCUUAUAUUGCCGACCAGUCGAUCUAGUUUGUUGACAAAAAUAUCAUCGGCCACAUAGGUUUCGUUUAGUACUUUCAAUAGUGCAUUUCGAUGCCCCUCCGAGCUCAGGAGUAAAGCUAGCAUAGAUAUGUGAGCUGAUUGUUUGUGCAACUGUUUCACAACGCUGUACUCGCUAUGCUUCAGAAAUUUUAAAAACUCUCUAACUUCCUCUUAUUUUAUUGGCUCAUUAACCAAUAAUUCAGGUUCGACCGCGUUCUCUUUUUUUUCAUCCGAAGCUUCUUCUUUUGUUGGCUCUACCUGAGCUUUCAUCUAAUCGCAGUGCUUUCCAUUAUGAGUAUAGGAACCCCUAUCCUGGUCCUCCUUACUAGUCACACCCUCUUUCCCUGGAAUUGUCACAUUACAAUCGUAAUUCCAGGGAACCCUCAUGUUAUCCUUAUAAGCAAAAACGUAAGGUUUCUAAAUGAUAACCCUCGGUGUUACCCGUGCUCCAGCCUCACUAUUCUUAGGCCGCAUAAUGAUGACCACAGGAUAAUUAGCCUUUGGAACUUCCAAUACUGACUCUAACGCGCAUACAUGACUCUCCUCCUAAACUCCUUCACAGAAUUCCAUUACCUUAUUAUCCAUCAUAAAUUGCACCAUGGCUCUGAACUCCGCACAUUCCUGGAUUUCAUGCCCCAUUUCAUGGUGGAACUCACAAUAGUCUCCCUUCUUUCCGCAACAUUCUUUCGAAACGAUCAGUCCCCUUUUCACCAUCUCCUUCCAAACCCAAUUCAAAGGAGUUUUUACAUCCAUGAUGUCUGCCUUAAUUCUUCUGUUUUCACUCAUCAUAUUUACCCCAUUGUCAGUGUGGUUUGGUAAUGGAUUUUCUGCACUGGUCGAAUCAUCAAAUUUGACCACACCCAAAUCGAUGAGCUUUUCCACCAAUUUCUUAAAGGCAGUAAAAUUUUCUAUGAAAUGUCCCAUAAUUCCCGCAUGAUAGUCGUAUUAUGCCUUCACAUCGUACCAUUUGGGAUACGGGGGUUGUAAGGGCUUUAAAUAGGAAAGGGAAACCACGUGUGCGUCGAACAAAUUCUUAUACAGCUCCCUAUACGAUAUUAGAAUUGACGUGAAUUGAGGCAUCAUUCUGUUACUCUCUCCAGCAUUGAUCUUCCUACUUCUUAUGGCAUUCUCAAUCAUCUCACCAUUCAUGACUAUAUCAUGAAAUAUUUUUGUAGCACUCCCUAACAUAUGUGUAAUGAACGGUGCAUUCAGUGUGUUAAUGAAUAGCAUAGUCAUUUCUUUUUUCAAAAACGGUGGUUGAACUUGGACCGCGACUUCCCUCUAUCUUUGUGCGUACUGCCUAAAACUUUCGUUUGGCUUCUUCUCCAUAUUUUGAAGGGUGAUUCUAUCAGGAGCCAUGUCUGUCACAUGACUAUACUGUUUCAUGAACGCCUAUGCCAAAUCCCUCCAUGAACAAAUCGUGGUACGACUCAGUUGAUUGUACCACUUAGAUCCUGCCCCUGCAAGGCUAUCCUGAAAAUAUUGUAUCAAGAGCUGGUCAUUGUUAACAUAUCCCGCCAUUCGCCUGCAGAACAUGGUGAUAUGAGCUUCUAGGCAACUUGUCUUGUUGUACUUCUCGAGUUCUGGCAUCUUAAACUUAUGGGGAAGUACCAAAUUCGGAACUAAGCUCAGCUCUUUAGCGUCAAUCCCACGAUAGCUUUCAGUGACUUUCAUCGCUUUGAAUUUCUCCUCGAGCCAUUUGCACCUUUCCUCUGCUGCUUUUGUAACUCCUCCUUUAUUCUUUCCUUUUCAGGCACUUCAUCGAAGUCAGGAAUGACAGAGUUAGCAGGGUGGUUUUCGGGGUUAGAGCCCAAUCUAGCUUGAAAGUUUGAAGCAUCGGUCUAGAACUGCUGAGGCCUAAUUGUGACAGUAGAUUUGUGCAGAUAUUCAGCUUGAGUUCGAACAUGUGGAGGAGUAAAGCUUGGAGGAUAGAAUAGUUCAUCUUCAUCACCCUCUUCGACAUCAGCCAUGGGGCCCUUUCCCUUAUCACCUCCUCCAGUCAACAGUUUGGUUAGCUUUGCCAUUAUAUUAUUUUGGGAUUCCUGCAUCCUCUUUGACAUAUCCUGUUGCAUCUUGUCCAACUGCUCUUGUACUUGUAGCUGAAGUCGGUCUUGCAUCUCCUUUUGGUAUUGUUCGAGCUUUUCCAAUCUCUGAUCCAUGUCUUUUGUCUUUGCUCGAGUGCCGUAUCGGUGUUUGGUUGGUUGGUUGGUUUCCAGGUUAACUGAGCAAUAAUUUUAAUCAGAACCCUCUUAACAAUUUAAUGCAUGAAAUGCGAUGUAUGAAAAUGAAUGCAAAAAGGCGUCAAUUCUAAUUUUAAUUACUUUCAAAAACUUUAUUAGAAAACAAAUCUCUUUACAUAGAAUAGGAUACAAAUAUGACUUUGCCAUAAUACUUAGACAUUGAUCUUUUUAAGCAACGAAGCUAAUUCUUGUCCCCGGUCUGACUCCAAUUCAUACUUCACGCUCAAUGUGUCAGCUUGUACUGCUAAAGUUUGUAGGUGAUCUGCCACUUCUCGAAUCUGAGCCACAGCUUCUCCUAUAACACGAUCCCUGUUUCUGACUUGAUUCUAGAAAUAAUGAAGUUGCUCACUCUGACGACAUUUCUUUUCCUCUAAAUGCUCAAUCCGAACCUCACAAUUUCGCAAUGCUGCUUCUAACCCCUCUAUUUUACUCUUCAUCUCUUCAAUCUUACUCAGACUUACUUUCAGCUUUGUUACAGAGUUUCGACUUCUAUGCUGAUGAAGAGACCCUUCUAACUCAACCACUCUGUCAUUCAAUUCACCUCUUUCCUUUUUACUUUCUAACAAGCUUUUCUCUAAGGCUUCAUUUUAUGUUUGUACCUCUUGAAAUUUCCUUUCCCACCGGUCUGACUUGUUUCUUUCUUCUCGAAGUUCUUCACGCCACUGUUCUAAAGUUUUUCCAAGCCCUACAGUUCUUAUUGAGAGCCACAACUUUUUGUAAUCUGUCUUCAAGCUAUCUAACUCUUUCUCAUCUUUAUUCUUCCCCUUCCUUAUUUUAUCAACCUCGAGCUUUUGAAUAUCCACAUCCAGUCUCAAAUUCACCUUUUCUUCCUCCAUUUGCUCUAUUUUCUUCUCUAAUUAUGCAUUUCUUCUUUCAAAGUCUUGCUUUAUGAUUUCCAGCUCAGAAGGGAGUACCCGCAAAUGCUCCUCUAUCGACUGACUAUUUCCUAAACUCGACCCAAUAAUGUUAUCGUUGAUCCUCUUAACCCACCAUUCACUAUACUCGGAAGUUUUCAUUGGACCCACAGCUAAUCUCUUCAUUCAGUGAAUCUGAUUCCACGCAUUGGCCAUCUCACGAGCUUUCUUUUCGUAACCUUCACCUCUAUACGAUAAUUCACACUCGACCAAUCCUUGAGUUGUAGGCACAAACUGCCUUGACUUGUAUUGCCUUAGCACUAGCAAUUGAGCAUAACCAACAGCACCCCAAAUUCCAAGCAAAGGAACCCAAUCAAAAUCCUCACACCGAUAUAGGAUCUCAUUCGGAAGCAACCACAGAGCUCUCCACUCGAUAUCCUCUUCUUGCAGAUUUUGAAAAAUUACCAUCCAUUUCUCCUCCGAGAUGUUAUCUCUUCUUGUCGUAGCCACUAUCUCCUUCAAUGGUGAAUAACCUUCAGAGAAGACCCGAUAUGAAACUUUACCCACCUUUCAAAAGUGGAUGUGGAACCACGCAAGUAGAAACUGUACACAUCUAAUAAAUCUACCCUCUCCCGCUCUCCGACAUGCAUUUAGUGGGCUAAAGGUUUCUGCCAAAAUUACCAGGACUAGUGUAACUCUCUUAUCAAGUUGAUCAAAUAAAUCAGUGAUCGCCUCGUCAACAUGUCCCAAAAUCCUUGGAAACACAAUUAAACCAUAUAUACUUAAAGCAAAGACAUCUACCUUCUUCCUCAUGUCUGGGUGUGUCAAAAUAAGAUCUUUCAAAUUUUUCCAGGGAAUACACCUGCUAUCCCUUUUUUCUUAAUCCGAGCUGUAACCCACUGCUCACUCAUCCCCGUUAUAUUCAUCAACUUCUUCAAGAAGGUCGGUACAUUUACUACUUUCGAGUAGAUUCUAUCUACUUGAAUCCUCGAACACCGAAGUAAAGCCAAGUAUUCUUCUAUUGUAGGCACCAAAUCAACCUUCCCGAAUGUGAAGCAACUAUAAGCCGGAUUCUAAAAUUGGGCAAGAGCUCGAAAUAGACGCUUGUCUACCUUCAUAUCAAGUAAAUAAGGCAAAUCCCCAUAAUUUGAAUAGAAUAACUGUCUAACCUCAUUAUUCCACUAAUCUCAAAUCUCCUUCAACUCCUGCAAGUUGUUCUGGGCUACGCUAAUACGGGUGAAGUCCCAUAAUUCUGAUAUGUAUCCCUCGGCCAAACUAUCACCUUUUUCGCGCUACAUCAUCUCAGCCCUAGUUCGAACAGCCGCAUUAUCCUCCACUCUAUCAAGAAACCCAUCUCCCAUGAUAAAAUUUUCUAUCUAGCACCGAAAACGAACCAACGCCUUUUAUAAUGACAUGCCAUGCAAUCAUAAUUUCAUGCAAUCAAAACAAAAUAAACCCAAGUUAGUGUCACGCAUAAAGACAUAAUCCAUCACAAAAUAGUAAUACUUAUCCAGGAAUUCACUAGAGUUUGUUACAGCUAUACCUAGGGAAAGUUCCUAAAGCUCACUACAUGAGGUUUAGUUUCUAAAGUAAGGGUACCCGAACCAGCAGAUUCCUCGAUCCUCACCCAUUAUAGGCUCAUAUGGAUCGAGUUCAGUUCAGGGGAAUACAUUUCCCUAUGGCUGCACGGAGAUGAAAAUCUCACGAAGACAUAGGUACGGAUGUAUCCCGAAAGUAGUCCACUACCCUGCACAGAGGUGAAAACCUCACGAAGGACUAGUUUCUCGCUCCCACUUAAAGGGUAAAACUGACCAUGUGAUGCAAAAUGCAAAUACAAAGUAACCGACUUGGUCCAAUCAUGCAAACAUAUCAUGAUAAAAAUCAAUGAAUGCAAAGGGAAAACAUGAUUUAAAAAAACUUUUGAUUUUCGACAAAAAAGACAAAACGUAAUCAAUUCAUGGCUCAACUCUCUAAAAUCCCCAGUGGAGUCGCCAAGCUGCCGAAACCGUUUUUUGAAAACAAAAAUUUAGUUGUCGACUUUUAAAAAAACGAAAAUUGGAGUCGCCACCGAUCUUUGAUUGAGGUGUGAUCAGCUCACCUUAAAAACAAUUCUGGUCUACGACAUUUGAGAAAAUAGGUUCGGGAGUCAGUUACGCACGAGGAAGGGUUAACACCCUCGCAACGCCCAAAAAUCGGUACCGAAUUUGAUUGUUUAAUGUCUUGGUGUCGAAAAUUUGAAAAGAUUUUAAAAGAAACCUUUUAACUCGUGAAUGAAUCAAAAUAAAACAUUCUUAUUUCAAAGAAAUAAAACAUCACACCCAUUGAGUUAGGGCACAAUAUUUUUAAAUCUUCAAAAUAUUGAGUAUUGCCUUUUGUUUUUGAAAUCCUUAUUUCGAGAUAAUAAAAUGUCAUGACCAGUAAGUUAGGACCCAACAUUUUUGAAUUCCCGAGAAUAAGUUUUUAUUUGAAAUUUGUGAAUUUAUUGCAAAACAAAUACUUGGCUUUUUAAAUCCAUCGAAAAAUAAUCGCAAUCCAGUAAGUUAGGACACGAUCUUUCUCGAGAAUCAUGAAUGCCAAAUAUUUUGGAAAUUUGUAAAAUAUGAUGAUUUUAAUGCUUUGACGCAACCAGAAUAUAUAUUUUCUAAAAGGCAUGUUAAAAAGUUAAUGUAUAACAUGAAACAAAUACUUCGAUUUAAAAUAUAUAUGUAUAUAUAUUUACAAAGUAUGAAUAUAUAUAGACAUAAUAUAUAGGUGAAUUUUGCAAAUAUAGGUAUGGCUAUAAAAUACCAAAGAUGCAUACAUAUUUGAAAACGUUUAUGCAUAUAUAUGUACACAAAAGUCAUGAAACUAACAAUAAUAAAAUACAUAUGAAAUAUAUUUAUGCAUUUACAAAAAAAUGUAUAAUAUAGUAUAUUGGUAAAUAUAAUAAUGUGGAAAAUACAUUUAUAGUAAGUUUUAAAUAGAGUUGGAUAUAUAUGUACAUAUUAUAUAAAAAAAUAUACAAACCUGUAUAAAUUAUAAAAUAUGGAAAACGUGUAACUAUUAUAAAAUAUAAAUGUAUAUGUAUAUAUGUAUGAAAAAAACUAUGAAAAAAAAAAAAAAAAAACUAUGUACAUAAUAUGUAUAUGCAUUUAAAACGUUUAAAAUGUAUACCUAUAUAUUUACAUACAUAUGCGCAUAUAGAUACAAUGAUAGUAACAUAUAAUAUAAUAAAUAAAAAUAUAAACUAAUAAUGAUACAGUAAUAAUAAUAUAAAUAAACAGUAUUAAUAAUAAAAAAUUAGAAUAAUAAAUUCAAGAUUAGGUUGAAAAUAAAUAGAAUUUAAGGGCUGAAUUCAAAAAAAAUGAGAAAGGGAGCAAAUUAAAACACGCGUAACAGGAGGAGGACCGAAAGAGCAAUUUACCAAAACCACCCAAAACACUGCGCAGCAAUGGAUUGAAAUAAAACAAAUUCAAUAUUUCAUAGGAAAAAUUGGAAACAGAAAACAAUGAUUUUGAAACGAUAGGAUUAAAAUGAAAGGAUUAAAAACGUAAAUAACCCAUCAAUGCUUUAAAACCCUUUUCAAUCCCUAAUUAAAACCCAAUUCCAUUUGCAGCAUAGUAGCCGCAAGAAUUGUUUCAUCCUCUCCCCUGCUCUUCACGCCAAAAUCCUCCUUUCAACUUCGAUUUGGAUGAAGCGAAACAAAGAUGUCGACGGUGCGCCACCGUUGGUAAGAAUCUUCCCUCCUUCUCUUUUCUUUUAUUUAUUAUUAUUUUUUAAAAAACCAAUAGAAAAAUGAAACAAAAAGCAGUAAAAAAACAGAAUAAAUAGAUCACCUUCGACAAUUGUUUUCUUUUUCUUUCGUAUUUCCGUAUUCUCUCUUUACAAUCCGUCCCCAUUUUACAAAAUAAAACGGCUUUAUAUAGCCCGAAAAAAGAAAAAUAAAUUGAAUAUAAUUGCUAUUUUUUGUUGUUUCUUCUCUUUCAGACUCUUUGAGUUUGUGCUUACAAGUGUUUGUGGAGCACACGUGGAGGAGUCGGCCUCGAGACGUGCGGCGGUUGGAGGCUUUGCUAGAAGCGGCGAGGCUGAUGCUAGGGUUUCCUAACCCUUCCUUUUCCAUUAAUUUCGGGCCUGGGUUAGGAAUUAGCUAUUGGGCCCGUUAUUGGAUUUGUAACAAAAUUGGACUGAAACAUUAGCUUUUGUUUCUGUUUGGUUUUUAUUUAUUUAACGGGCCGGGCAGAAAUUGGGCCCUACAACAUAAUUAAAUUUUUAUCUAUAGAAAAUGGUAAAUGUUGGUAUAUAAAAUUAUUUCUUAAUAAUAUAUCUCCAUGAAUUGCAGGGAAACAUAAUAUUUUGGGUGUCACUAAUCUUACAUUAUUUAUGUAGAUUGGUACAUUUCUAGCUUUAUAUUGGAUUAUGGUUUCACUACAUUCUAUUCCUAUUGCUUUUAUUGGAUGUUUCAUAGGUUUCCAUUUUUCUACAGGAAUGUCAUUCUUUCUGCAACUACUGGUUGUAGCUCCUAUAUCUAAUAAAGCAUGCAAAGAAUAUAUUUUAUAUUCUCUAAAUUGAAAUGUAAUUUCAAUAUAUAUGUAAUAUUUCCUGGAUUGGAAAUUUGAAAAUGUAAUUACACCACUUAUUCCAAUUUUUAUUUGUUGAAUAAUUGUUGAAGUUUGUAUUUCUUCCAUUCUAGUGUUUCUAGAAUUUCUACUUGGUUUUGUAAGAAAAAUAGGAAUAUGAACUGUUUUCAUUCCUAUUGAAGUAGAACUUAUACAUGUAUUAUCCUCUUCUUCUUUUAUUUGAGUAUUUGAGGGUAAAAUUAAAUUGUUAUUUGUAUUUGUUAUAGCAAUAUUUUU
Molecule: long non-coding RNA, 14624 nt
Filed under: Gossypium barbadense (sea-island cotton)
Lineage: Eukaryota; Viridiplantae; Streptophyta; Magnoliopsida; Malvales; Malvaceae
Description: long non-coding RNA (GBAR_LNC017057)
Source: RNAcentral